This 372-nucleotide ribosomal RNA is filed under the name uncultured organism. RNAcentral's name for it is "bacterial SSU rRNA". It matches the Rfam family "Bacterial small subunit ribosomal RNA", at positions 526 to 896 of the family's 1533-position model. The record is from RNAcentral.
CAGAGGUCCCGAGCGUUGUUCGGAUUCACUGGGCGUAAAGGGUGCGUAGGUGGCGAGGUAAGUCGGAUGUGAAAUCUCCAAGCUCAACUUGGAAAUGGCAUUGGAAACUACCUGGCUAGAGGUUUGGAGGGGGGACUGGAAUUCUCGGUGUAGCAGUGAAAUGCGUAGAUAUCGAGAGGAACACCAGUGGCGAAGGCGAGUCCCUGGACAACACCUGACACUGAGGCACGAAAGCUAGGGGAGCAAACAGGAUUAGAUACCCUGGUAGUCCUAGCCGUAAACGGUGCUUGCUUGCUGUAAAAGGAAUCGACCCCUUUUGUGGCGAAGCCAACGCGUUAAGCAAGCCGCCUGGGAAGUACGGUCGCAAGAUUA